UGCCAGCAGCCGCGGUAAUUCCAGCUCCAAUAGCGUAUAUUAAAAUUGUUGCAGUUAAAAAGCUCGUAGUUGAAUUUCUGCUGCAUUGCUUGUGUCCCUCUGGGGUCUGUGCAUGUGGCUUUUAUCGGACGGAGUUUCUUUGUCUGAAUGUUUACUUUGAGAAAAUUAGAGUGCUCAAAGCAGGCUUUCGCCUUGAAUAGUUUAGCAUGGAAUAAUAAAGUAGGACUUUGGUUCUAUUUUGUUGGUUUUAGGUACCAAAGUAAUGGUUAAUAGGAACAGUUGGGGGCAUUCGUAUUUAACUGUCAGAGGUGAAAUUCUUAGAUUUGUUAAAGACGAACUACUGCGAAAGCAUUUGCCAAGGAUGUUUUCAUUAAUCAAGAACGAAAGUUAGGGGAUCGAAGACGAUCAGAUACCGUCGUAGUCCUAACCAUAAACUAUGCCGACUAGAGAUUGGAGGUCGUCAGUUUUUAACUACUUCAGCAA
This 483-nucleotide ribosomal RNA is filed under the name Theileria lestoquardi. RNAcentral's name for it is "SSU rRNA". It matches the Rfam family "Eukaryotic small subunit ribosomal RNA", at positions 565 to 1086 of the family's 1831-position model. The record is from RNAcentral. Lineage: Eukaryota; Apicomplexa; Aconoidasida; Piroplasmida; Theileriidae.